AAUAAAUAAGUAAAUAAAAUAAACAUUUGUCAUUUAAUAACAAAUGUUAUUAAAUUUAUGUAAUAACAAAUGUUAAUUAGUGAGUAAAUGAAGGUAUUAGUUCAUUCCACACCGAUAUGAAGAAAUACACAAGACUGGAUAAUUUAUAAAGGAAAGAGGUUUAAUUGACUCAGUUCCACAUUACCGAGGAGGCCUCAGGACACUUAUAAUCAUGGCAGAAGGCAAAGGAGAAGCAGGAACCUUCUUCAUAGGGUGGCAAGACAGAGUGUGGAGCAGGGGAAAUGUCAGAUGCUUUAUAAAACCAUCAAAUCUUGUGAGACUCACUCAAUAUUGAGAACAGCAUGGGGAAACUGCCCCCAUAAUCCAGUUUCCCCCACCUGAUCCUGCCCUUGACAGGUGGGGAUUCUGGAUAAUAGAGGGAUUACAAUUCAAGAUGAGAUUUUGGAUGGGGACACAGCUGAACCCUAUCAAUGAAGAAAUGAAUUAAUGUUAAGUUGGCGUUAUUGAAUCUCCAGAGUUGCACUAGAAUAGACUUUAAUUCUGGUUGCCUGCACUGGUAACUGUACUUAAAUGAUUUCUGGGAGAAAAUAGCUCUCAUUUGCAAGCUUCUUUUUGGCAGUCCUUACUCUCUUCCCCUAGCACCCAGCAACUUUGUAGCAGAUCUUUGUUAGUGGAUGGAGGUUUUAUUAUGGUGUAUACUUUAUUUGUAUACAAUUUACUUGUGAUCUUAACGUAGAAAGGUUGUUUCUGUUUCAAAGUAAUUUGAAAUCUCUGUAAGGAUGUUCAUCAGAUAGAAUUGCUCAUAUUAUUUUAUAUAUAUUUGCUAUUGUUGUUAUUGAGGGUAGAUCACAGAGCCUGGGAAAUAGUCCUUUGGUUGGUUAUCAAAAUUAAGCCAAAACAAAAAAUAGUAUAUUUCUCCUUCUUCCAUUAGAACUGUAGCUCUUGUUAUGAAUUCUGGUAAUAAAUUACUUCAUUAAAGUCAAAUAGUUUAUGAUGUUCCUUGGCAGGGAAAUCUUGAAAAUAUUUUACUGUUACAGCAAAUUUCACACUAAGUUAUAUUUCAAAAAGUCAUUAGUAAAAGUUCUGGAAAAAGAACAGUCACUGUCAAGUGAUAUGCUACCAAAAGAUGGAUUGCUACUAUUUUAGAUGAUUUAGCUGUGCUAGUUAUAUGGGAUUUUUAUGAGUUACGCUAUGCAUGAUUUCCAGUAAAACUUUGAUUUUAAAUGUAAACAUUUAUUUAAAUGUUUAAUCCACUCCUAACAUAAAUACUAAGUUGUGUGUUCUUAUAAAUUUGUUUAAGUGUUAGAACUUAUAUAUAGGCACAUUCUGCAUUGAAAUAAGUGAAAUAAUUUUCAUCCUAGCUUUUUGGUGACAGUAUUUCUAUUUGCUGAGUGAUGAAAAAGUAAUUAGUUAUGAAAUGAGAUACAAACUAUGAUAGAUUCUUCUGUAAAUAGAACAUUUCAAGUUUUAUCUUGGUUCUUGCAAGAAUAUUUAGUACUUAUACAUGAUUUUUCCUUGUGUUCAAAUGUGCUCAGCUGCAAAGGGAGUAGUGACUCAGAUAAUUCAAUAUAGGGAAUAGUCCAGAAUUUGACCUUUAAAUUGUUUUGGAAUUUGCAUUCAAAUAUUGAUAUCUCUGAAAGAGGUAUGAGCAGCACUUUCCACAAUAUAGUAAACAGUCCAGUAAUGUCUUUAUCUUGAAAUAAACUGCAGAUUGCCCAACUGUUUCUUUAUUAUCUAAAACAAAACUGCCUUUAUUUCUGUAUUGUUGCAAUUUUUAAUCUGCUUUUAGUCUGGGGUAUAAUAAUUUGGCCUUAAAAGAUUUUCAGCUUUUGAAAAUCUUCAGUUAUCUCUUGCCUCUCACUUACCAGGCUGGCCUGAUGUGAUACCACCUGCUUUUCUUUAUAUAUACAUAUAUAUAUAUUUUUUUCUUUUGCCAGUUUUUGCUGUAGCAGCACCUGCUUUUCUUUAUGGACAUAACCAUUACUCUAAAAUUUGAGAGUAAUUAAAAAUUAUAGUCUAUUGUAAUGAACAAGGUAGACAUUGGGCCAUUUAUUCAUUUCUAAAACCUCUCUGAGUGUGUGUGUCUGCCAUAUACUAGCUUUUUUUUUUUUUUGUGGAUAGAGGAUCCAAAGAUGAUAGAUAGCCUUUGAGAAACUUAUAUUUUGCAGUUUGGCAAGGAGGUGGUGGUAGGGGAGAUAGGUAAAAAAAUUGCAAUGUAUUGUCAUAAGUUCUGUGAUUGAGAUAAGGAAAUGUCAUAGGAAUGCGUAGGAGGGUCAUUUAACCCAGAGUUUGAAAUGUACAUCUGAACUGAGUUUUGAAGGGUGAGUAGAAAUUAGCCAGAUAAAGAGGAAAAUAAUCCUGGAAAAACUCUAAGACGAUGUGACCAAUAUAGGAGAUCAGCUUUGGAAUAAAUAGUGGCUAUCAUUUAUUGAGCUCUACCAUGUGCCAAACUCUGUGAUAGGAGUUUGAAACCACUUACCUCAGUGUAACUUGUGCAGCAGGUGCUAUUAUUCAUAGUUUGUAAAUGAAGAAACAGAGUCACAAGUUUCCUCACGUCAUCACGUGGUUAAUUAAUAGUAUUGCUAGUUUAAAAAACUCUAGCUUUUCUGGCUUUUUCUUUCUGUAGGCUGUUUUCGCCCAGCAAAGGACAGUUUCAAGAUGGAGGAGAUAAAUAGUUACCAUGCUAUUGAAAGUUCACAUGUGUAGAUUAAUUCUGAAAAGUGUGCAGAGGGAUUUAUAGUGACUUGUUUGUUCAUUUAGGAGUAUUUACUGAGAGCCUCUCAUGUGCCAAGAACUGUGCAAAGAAUUAGGAAUAAAAUGACAAAUGCCAAAGUUGAGGUAGAGGGUGAAAGAAAGCGAGGACACUGACUGAAGCCAUAGUUUGAAAAAUCUGGAUUGCAAAGGAAAAGAUAAUGAUUGAGCAAUACAUUUUAGGGGAAGUCAGUAGUCUUAGUUUUUGUUUGUUUGUUUUUUUCGUAUGGGAAGUAUUAAUACUUUGUUUAUAUGCUGAAGAGAAAGAGCCAUAGCAGGGGAAAGAUAGAAGAUGUAAAAGAAAGAGCUUUUAGGUCACAUGUUUAAUUAAGUAGAUGGUGAGAUGAUUCUUGAAUUUGUAAUGGCUGUAUAAUUUUAGUGUGAUUAGCCUGUUCUUGAGUAAUGAGACUCGAAUAAACAAUGAAACCUCUUAUUUAAAUGAUCGCUGUAACCUCUUAUGCCCGAUUUAUGCAUUCCUCUUUAUUGUCCCUCAGUUAUUCUGCCCCUACUUCUGUUUAUCAUAGGAUUUGUUAUACUGAAUUAGAGUCAUCGAUAUCUACCUGUUAGACGAUAUGCUUCUUGUGUGGCAGGGAUGAGAAGAGACUAUGUCUGAUGCCACCUAACGACUGGUAUAAUCCCACUUCAGUAAAUGCUUAUUGAAUCAGUGAAUCAAUGAAUAACUUGGACUUUCUUAUUUUUACCAUUUUUGAACAAUUUUCUUUUUGACUUUGAAGGGUUAAAAGGUAUAUAGCUACCCUAUUAAGGUUUUGUUUGUUAGAAAUUAAGUACUUAACACUUUAAGGUAUGCCCUAGAAUAGAUAAAAAGAGAACGUUAAAAAUUUUUGACGUUGAAAGGGUCUUGUUGGUUAAUUUUUUGGAAACUCUGUAAUGAUUAUUUUAUACAAAGGUUACAAUGUGCGUAAAAUAAUUUCUGAUAUUAAAGUAUGGUAAGUAGAAAUUAAUAAAACAGCCUUUAUUAAUUUCUUUCAGUUUAUGGUGGUUUGCUCGCUGUGAGAUUUUUCUCUAGGCAUAGUAAGA
Sapajus apella (tufted capuchin) is the source of this 3789-nucleotide long non-coding RNA. RefSeq lists it as uncharacterized. Lineage: Eukaryota; Metazoa; Chordata; Mammalia; Primates; Cebidae. The transcript is spliced from 2 exons. The record is from RefSeq and is a predicted model, not a curated record.